CAAUAGCGUAUAUUAAAGUUGUUGCAGUUAAAAAGCUCGUAGUUGGAUUUCUGGGAGGGUGCCGCCGUCCGGCGUGUCCGUGUGCAGUGGCGCCCUUCCAUCCUUCUGUUAGCGUCUCUUGGCAUUCAUUUGCUGGUGGCGGGUUCAGAUAUUUUACCUUGAGAAAAUUAGAGUGUUUCAGGCAGGCUAGGCCGGAAUACAUUAGCAUGGAAUAAUGGAAUAGGACUACGGUCUCUUUGUUGGUUUGAGGGACUGCAGUAAUGAUUAAUAGGGAUAGUUGGGGGCAUUAGUAUUUAAUUGUCAGAGGUGGAAUUCUCAGAUUUGUUAAAGACUAACUUAUGCGAAAGCAUUUGCCAAGGAUGUUUUCAUUAA
Molecule: ribosomal RNA, 372 nt
Filed under: uncultured eukaryote
Lineage: Eukaryota
Description: partial 18S ribosomal RNA
Rfam family: Eukaryotic small subunit ribosomal RNA
Source: RNAcentral